UCGAAACCUGCACAGCAGAACGACCCGCGAACCUGUUUACCAACCUCCGAGGGGCAGGGCGAGCCCUGUUUCCCUCGGAGCCCGAACGCGCCUCCUCGCUAGCCCCGUCAAACGGGCGGCGGGAUGGCGUGCGACGGCAAGUACCCAAACACCGGCGCGGGUUGCGCCAAGGACUAUGAAAUUCUACCGCGUCCGGCGGCCCCGGGCGACCGGGUGCCGUCGCGAGGACGUGUCGAAAGAUCUAUAACAAAACGACUCUCGGCAACGGAUAUCUCGGCUCUCGCAUCGAUGAAGAACGUAGCGAAAUGCGAUACUUGGUGUGAAUUGCAGAAUCCCGUGAACCAUCGAGUCUUUGAACGCAAGUUGCGCCCGAAGCCAUCCGGCCGAGGGCACGUCUGCCUGGGCGUCACGCAUCGCGUCGCCCCUUUCUCCCUCAUCNAUUGACGUCGAGCGAAGAGAGGGGCGGACCAUGGCCCCCCGUGCGCCCUUGCGUGCGGCCGGCCUAAAUAUCGAGCCCCGUGGACGUGAGUACCGCGACGUUUGGUGGUUGAUUUUUGAGCAUCGUGUCGCGCGUCGGAUCGUCCCCGGAGGUCUUGCAGGACCCUUAGGCGCAGCAGCAGCCUACCCUUGCGACCCC
RNAcentral lists this ribosomal RNA (637 nucleotides) under Eriogonum molestum. RNAcentral's name for it is "eukaryotic LSU rRNA". The stretch from base 254 to 409 matches the Rfam family "5.8S ribosomal RNA". Lineage: Eukaryota; Viridiplantae; Streptophyta; Magnoliopsida; Caryophyllales; Polygonaceae. The record is from RNAcentral.